Molecule: ribosomal RNA, 227 nt
Filed under: Candidatus Scalindua sp.
Lineage: Bacteria; Pseudomonadati; Planctomycetota; Candidatus Brocadiia; Candidatus Brocadiales; Candidatus Scalinduaceae
Description: partial 23S ribosomal RNA
Rfam family: Bacterial large subunit ribosomal RNA
Source: RNAcentral
GACAAACCUCUGGUGUAUCUGUUGUUUCGCCAGAAGCAGAGCAGAGUAGCUAAGUUUGGAAGGGAUAAGCGCUGAAGGCAUCUAAGCACGAAGCCCCCCUCAAGAUGAGAUUUCCCACCCGUAAGGGUUAAGACCCCAGAAAGACUAUCUGGUUGAUAGGUCUAAGGUGUAAGUGCAGUAAUGUAUUUAGCUGAUAGAUACUAAUAGGUCGAGGACUUGACCAACUU